This is a long non-coding RNA of Ooceraea biroi (clonal raider ant), 622 nucleotides long. RefSeq lists it as uncharacterized. Lineage: Eukaryota; Metazoa; Arthropoda; Insecta; Hymenoptera; Formicidae. The record is from RefSeq and is a predicted model, not a curated record.
AGCUCAGCAGAUACUCCGCAGCAUUCCUCGAUAUCCUGCCGUGAUACCAAGAGUGUUUCUCCAGGGAGUUGACGGGAGUCACGUAAUUCGACGACUAAGCUGAUUCUCCCCACCAGCUUGGAAAUCGUACAAGGCGACAAAUAAUUGAGGAUCGUCCUCUUCCUGCGCCAGCAGAUUCUCUUUGCUGGUCCAUCUGCCAUAAAAAUGGAAUAGAUAUUAUUUUUAUAUUAAACUUUUCAACGUCAUCUGUUUAAGGCUGAAUGAUUAUGUUGAGAAUGUACAGCUACUUAGGCUGUCGCUGAGAUUGCAAAGGCAUGAGAUGGCAAUUAUAUAAGCAUGACAUGUGUUCUGCUCUUUAGACCCUGAAUAGUAAACUGACCUAUUUGCUGCUUCAAGAAGUCCACUAGACACACUGCUGUGUUGUUGAACGUUUGCUUGUUGUGAGAUUGAUUGAAUGCUAGAACCACUUGGAGGGUCACCUUCUGGCAAUGCUGGAAUGUGAGGUAGCGGUCUACUUUGCAAAAGCGCCUCUGCAAAAAAAUACCAAACUUGUAACGACGUAAAAUAAUGUACGAUAAGAAUAAUCUACACUCUGUAUCUACAUAAAGUCUCAUCCAAGAAA